This 596-nucleotide ribosomal RNA is filed under the name uncultured bacterium. RNAcentral's name for it is "bacterial SSU rRNA". It matches the Rfam family "Bacterial small subunit ribosomal RNA", at positions 112 to 704 of the family's 1533-position model. The record is from RNAcentral.
AAUGCCUAGGAAUCUGCCUGGUAGUGGGGGAUAACGUUCGGAAACGGACGCUAAUACCGCAUACGUCCUACGGGAGAAAGCAGGGGACCUUCGGGCCUUGCGCUAUCAGAUGAGCCUAGGUCGGAUUAGCUAGUUGGUGAGGUAAUGGCUCACCAAGGCGACGAUCCGUAACUGGUCUGAGAGGAUGAUCAGUCACACUGGAACUGAGACACGGUCCAGACUCCUACGGGAGGCAGCAGUGGGGAAUAUUGGACAAUGGGCGAAAGCCUAAUCCAGCCAUGCCGCGUGUGUGAAGAAGGUCUUCGGAUUGUAAAGCACUUUAAGUUGGGAGGAAGGGUUGUAGAUUAAUACUCUGCAAUUUUGACGUUACCGACAGAAUAAGCACCGGCUAACUCUGUGCCAGCAGCCGCGGUAAUACAGAGGGUGCAAGCGUUAAUCGGAAUUACUGGGCGUAAAGCGCGCGUAGGUGGUUUGUUAAGUUGGAUGUGAAAUCCCCGGGCUCAACCUGGGAACUGCAUUCAAAACUGACUGACUAGAGUAUGGUAGAGGGUGGUGGAAUUUCCUGUGUAGCGGUGAAAUGCGUAGAUAUAGGAAGG